Molecule: long non-coding RNA, 4573 nt
Organism: Marmota monax (woodchuck)
Lineage: Eukaryota; Metazoa; Chordata; Mammalia; Rodentia; Sciuridae
Exons: 6
Source: RefSeq, a predicted model, not a curated record
GCGAGAGCCAGCUGAUCACAAAUGCCAACUGUGUGUCUUGGGGCCAGUUAAGUCCUCUCGUCUGCCCAAGCUCUCAGGACACCAUUUCAUUGCUCUCAGGGUUCCCAGGAGACUGCUGCGGACACGGACCAUCCCCCACUUGGCCCGCAUGGAUGGGGUGCUGAGCAGCGUCUUCAAAGUGCUCUUUCUCACCUCGAGUUUCCAUUUUAAAUAGUAAAAUGCUGGAACUAGGAGACAGGCAGAUAUUUUUCUCUCAUAUCAAAAAAGGAAGACCGUUAGCUAGGUGAUUAGCUGUAAGUGGGAAGCGAACUAUCAUCUCCAAUAGGAAUACUCACUUUUUGAGGAAGUAUGUGGAAGUUCUGCAGUCCCACCUUGCCCUAUGACCUUUAAUUCUCUUAGUUCUUCUGCCACAGGGAAGCACCGAGCGACUAAUAAAAGAUUUGAUCUUGCCAUAAUUUCCCAAGCAGGGAUCAACAAAUUGAUAAAGCAAACUCAGAGGCCACAUCUUAUUAGACAGCAAGCUGCCUUCUUUAUUAUGGGAGGAUUGAAUCCAGGGGCACUUCACCACUGAGCCACAUCCCCAGUCCUUUUAAAAAUAUUUUAUGUAGACCCAGGAUCUUGCUGAGAUGCUUGGGGCCUCACUAAAUUGCUGAAGCUGGCUUUGAAUUCAUGAUCAUCCUGAUUCAGCCUCCUGAGCCACUGGGAUUACAGAUAUUUCAAUGAUAUGUGGAUUUUCUAGAGAGGAGUUUAUUUUGUAUUGAAAGAUGGAAUAAGAGGAAUCAACACAGAAAGUUGAAUGGACAACUAAAGAUUGCCUCUGGAAAUUAGAAUUGAGAAGAAUACCCAGGAGAAGAUUCCUCUCCCCAUACACACCUGUGAUUUUCAAGUCCUUUUAUUCAUGCCUUUAAAUGAAAGGGUUGAGUAUACAAGAAUAUCAAUAAGUUCCAAUUGAAGAGCGGAUUCUUUUGCAAUUCAGGCAUGUGCCGGCGAUAACGGGCGAGUUGGCAUGAAGAGAGGCAGAGAUGGAUUAAUUAUGCAGAGAACAUGGAAAUUCUGCUUAUCAUCGGCUAGCAAAGGAGCCCGGCUCACAUAAUCAGCAAACGAAGGGAGAGGAAAAAAUAACAAUGCAAUGGCACCUUCCAGCCCAUCAUCAGGAUUUUUUCUACCCCCCUUGUAAUUAAAAAAUAACAUACACUUAUAGCCCUAUCUCCUGUGCAGGCAAGGAGUGGAUGUCCACAAAAUAAUUGCACUGGGAUAUUAGAGCUGGCAACACGGGCUGUCCAUUCCUGCUUGCUCUCUUGCUCACCCUCUCUUUCUCUUUUGGCCUCUCAAGGCACUUUGCUUCUGAAUACAGUCCAAAUCAGUCGAUGUCUCAGGUGACAUUCUAGCUCGGUUUCCAAAAAUCCCAAAUUGGUACCUUAUCAUGAUCCAAGCAAACAUACAUACAUAUAUGAUAAAUAUUUGAAGGGCUGACUCUGGGGGAGACUUUGGAACUGAUCACCUGUGGACUAUCUGGUCAAUUUCAUUUUUGAUGAAACAUGUCCAAACAGCCUUCAUUUUGCAAAGUGACUGGAUUAAAAUGGUGGGCCAUGCUAUCUUCUCAAUUGAUUUCUCCUCUUUACAACUUUUUGCACCUAUUUCCUUUGCCAACUCAUUUUAUAAAUUCAAGGGUAUACAAUUAAUUAUUGAGAUGUUUUGCCUUCAAAUCAGAAUUCGGAAUUCUAUAUUGUCACUAUAAAAUCCGAUAGCUCAGUGCUUUGUAUUUCUCUAGAAGCCCAAAGACACUAUACUAAACCUAGUUCAUUGCUUAAAAGAAACUAAAAUUAAAUCUUAACGUUUGUAUCCAUGUGUCUCCCAAUUCUAAGAAUUAGAAUGCAAACACGUAUGUUAAAUAAUGAUACUCCUGAUUGAAUGCCAUUGAAGUAGUUUUUUUUUUCUGUUUUAAUUGCCAACCAAGUAAUUUGACCUAAUUACAGACAUAAACCCCCAGAAACUCUGGCCGUGAAGAGAGACCAUUUCUUCCGGCAAAGUUACUGGUGAGCUACAGAAACAGAAAGAUGAAAAUAAAUCUGGAAAGACAAAAAUUAUGCAACAUAUGAAGGAAAGAUGUUGUUCCAAAGUGCAGUAAACUGGAAUUAGAAAGCUGGCAGACUCUAGAAAUGUAAUUUAUUCAUAGAGUUCCACCAAAGCAGGGAACCAGUGUGGGGCGCAGUUUACACGCUUGUGGGAAUGUUUUCAAUGACAGUGACAGUAAUAGACUGAUUUUUAAAACUAAUUAUUUACAUGACUAUGCAUAUGGACACACACAUAUUCUAGCACAUAUGAAUACUAUAGAAAACCAAAACUGAGUAAAUAAAUCAGUAAUUGGAGAUAUUUGUGAUUAGUGACUUUGUUCGUUUCUGAGAAUGGAGAGAAAAUAAAUAAGAAAAACACACUAAAGUGGUGGUAGGGAUUAAGGGUGAAGAAAAGUAGAAAAAUCCCAAUAAAGAGAGAAAAAGAGAAUAAAGAAUAUAGAGAAAAGAGAAUUAGAAUUAUGACAGUAGAAAUUAUAAUUUUUUGUUUAUUUUGUAAAUGCAUGCAUAAAAUAUAUUCUAUUAGAAUUAAAUAUACAAACGACGGAUAUAGAGAAAUCAUUCAAGUGUGUCUCCUUACACCAAGAAAUGUUUAAAUUCAGAAAGGCACUGCAGAUUCUGUAGAGUAGGGUAUAAUUCACAACUGACCUUGGAGCCUAGCCCAACAACUAGGGGAAUACAACUGGGAUGAUCUGACCAUUCAUUACCAUUGAAUUCCUACCACCUCCAACACAUUUUGUAUCUCUUUGAUUCAGUUUCCUCUCUGUAUUUUUUAAAGCCAUAGCUAAAAGCUAUUUAACAAAUAAUUUAUUCUUGAAAUUUGAGAAAAAUUGCAAGUCUAUAUAAAAAGCAAAGAAAAUAGUAAAAUAAACUCCCAUAUACCCAUUUCUCAGCUUCAUAAUUAUCAACUGAUGAAUAGUCAUCCUUUAGCUCUAUUCCACAAUCUCACCUUCUUUCUCAUCACAAGAUUUUUAAACAAUUUAUUUAGUUUUAAUUGACAGAUAAUAGGAGUGUAUAUUUAUGCUUUUGAAGUGUAUUCCUAGUAUAAUAAACCCUGCCCAUUUGAAAUUCUUAUUUGCAAGAUGUUUAAUAACCAAGAAGAAGCAAUGAGUCACUCUUGAUAGGACCAAUUAACACACCAAAUAUGAAGUUGUUUUUUUUUUUAUUAUAGAAGAGGAGAUCAAGUCAAAGCUAGCUAAAUUUGGCAUAAAGGAUUAUAUGAAGCUAUAUAUUCUUUGCAAAAUAUAUUUCUUUAAUUUGGGAUCCUGAGGAAUUAAUAGUCUUCUAGGAUUGAAAAUGUAAAAAGCUAUUUCAAGUCAAAACAGAUACUAGAAAAUGGUUUCCCAAAGACUUACAAGACACGCAAAGAAUCAUCUCACUUAGUAUCCAGAGCAGUGUUUCUGCAGAUGCUGCUCUGAAUGGAUGGUCCAUUGUUUUUCCACCUCUGGGGAACUUUUUAAAAAACACUUGUGCCUGAACCAUACCCUAGACAAAAACUCUAAGAAUUAGAGUUGCACAAAAAUAGAGAAACAGUUGUUAUAGACAGACAAGGAUGGAGGUAGAGAUAGCAGUGGAGAGAGAUCUUUAACUUCCUACAUGAUUCUAAAAUGCAACCAGUCAAGAACCAAUGUGCCUAGGCUCAUCCACUGCCCUCCAAUGAAUUUAACUGAAAUGCAUUGAAAACCCAAAACAUCCUCAAGAUUAGAGCAGUUUUCAGUGCAAACCAAACUGUAAGGGCCAUGGGGCAAAAGUCAUGCUGCUUGUUGUCUUCUAGGUGUACCCAGCACCUAGCACAGAGCCUAUUGGCUCUCAGAAAUAAAUAAAUAAAUAAAUAUUUAUUUAUUUAUUUACUGAGAGAAUAAAGUGAACAGAAGCCAGAAAGAGAGUUUUAUGACCAUCUGUAAUCACAGCAACCUCCUCUGCCCUACAUUAUAUCCCCUAAGUCUUGACAAUUUGGAAGCUUUCUUAAGGUUUUUCCAAAAGCCUGUGCUCAGAACUUUACAGACAUAGCAUACUUCUAUAAUCUUUUAUACUUCCUGAAAACAUGUCUUAACAUCUUUUACAAGAGAAGGUAGAUAAUAGAAUUCUCAGUAACCGUAACUGUAAAUGGAUUUGUAAUCUACCCGUGAUUAAAAUUAUUUUCAUCAUGAAGUAGAAUUCUCAUUAUUGUUGCAAUUUUAAUAUUAUCAACUCCAAAGUGUCUUAGUGAUUGAUAAUAUAGACAGCGAAACCCUAUAUUAUAGUAAUUAAAUUUGAAAUGAAUCAGCCAUCCUUAUAUGUCUCAGUAUAGUACCUGAUUAUUUGAAAACAAUUAUCUUUGCAUGUCACCUAAUGCCAGACAACACUUGGACCUGCUCCCAGGGAUUGUUCUGGGUCACAAAGUUGCCGCAGAGUUGGAAUGCACAGAUAGUGUGUCUAGGUGCCACGAUGAAUAUUUUCUCAGUUAAAUUACACAACCACCACGAAUGUGAGCUACAAUUCAGGAGGAGCACAAUCGUGAA